This 494-nucleotide ribosomal RNA is filed under the name uncultured bacterium. RNAcentral's name for it is "bacterial SSU rRNA". It matches the Rfam family "Bacterial small subunit ribosomal RNA", at positions 903 to 1397 of the family's 1533-position model. The record is from RNAcentral.
AAAUGAAUAGACGGGGGCCCGCACAAGCGGAGGAACAUGUGGUUUAAUUCGAUGAUACGCGAGGAACCUUACCCGGGCUUGAAUUGCAUCUGAAUGUAGUGGAAACAUUACAGCUAGCAAUAGCAGAUGUGAAGGUGCUGCAUGGUUGUCGUCAGCUCGUGCCGUGAGGUGUCGGCUUAAGUGCCAUAACGAGCGCAACCCUCAUCACUAGUUACCAUCAGGUCAAGCUGGGGACUCUAGUGAGACUGCCGGCGUAAGCUGUGAGGAAGGUGGGGAUGACGUCAAAUCAGCACGGCCCUUACGUCCGGGGCGACACACGUGUUACAAUGGAGGGUACAGCGGGAAGCUACCUGGCGACAGGAUGCCAAUCUUAAAAACCCUUCUCAGUUCGGAUCGGAGUCUGCAACUCGACUUCGUGAAGCUGGAUUCGCUAGUAAUCGCGCAUCAGCCAUGGCGCGGUGAAUACGUUCCCGGGCCUUGUACACACCGCCCGU